UACAGAGGUCUCAAGCGUUGUUCGGAUUCAUUGGGCGUAAAGGGUGCGUAGGUGGCGCUGUAAGUCAGGUGUGAAAUUUCGGAGCUUAACUCCGAAACUGCAUUUGAUACUGCGGUGCUUGAGGACUGGAGAGGAGACUGGAAUUCACGGUGUAGCAGUGAAAUGCGUAGAUAUCGAGAAGAACACCGGUGGCGAAGGCGGCCAUCUGGACAGAUACUGACGCUGAGACGCGAAAGCGUGGGGAGCAAACAGG
RNAcentral lists this ribosomal RNA (253 nucleotides) under uncultured bacterium. Its description in RNAcentral is "partial 16S ribosomal RNA". It matches the Rfam family "Bacterial small subunit ribosomal RNA", at positions 524 to 776 of the family's 1533-position model. The record is from RNAcentral.